GCGCGCGACCUAUACCCGG
Molecule: small RNA, 19 nt
Filed under: Arabidopsis thaliana (thale cress)
Lineage: Eukaryota; Viridiplantae; Streptophyta; Magnoliopsida; Brassicales; Brassicaceae
Description: Ath_wt_02867
Source: RNAcentral